UUAAGUUAAUAAGGGCGCACGGUGGAUGCCUUGGCACUAGGAGCCGACGAAGGACGUGACAAACGACGAUAUGCCUUGGGUAGCUGUAAGUAAGCGAUGAUCCAGGGAUUUCCGAAUGGGGGAACCCAACAGGUAGUACCUGUUACCCACAUCUGUUAAGGAUGUGAGGAGGAAGACGCAGUGAACUGAAACAUCUAAGUAGCUGCAGGAAGAGAAAGCAAAAGCGAUUGCCUUAGUAGCGGCGAGCGAAACGGCAGAAGGGCAAACCGAAGAGUUUACUCUUCGGGGUUGUAGGACUGCAAUGUGGACUCAAAGAUUAUAGAAGAAUGAUUUGGGAAGAUCAGCCAAAGAGAGUAAUAGCCUCGUAUUUAAAAUAGUCUUUGUACUUAGCAGUAUCCUGAGUACGGCGGGACACGUGAAAUCCCGUCGGAAUCUGGGAGGACCAUCUCCCAACCCUAAAUACUCCCUAGUGACCGAUAGUGAACCAGUACCGUGAGGGAAAGGUGAAAAGCACCCCGGGAGGGGAGUGAAAUAGAACCUGAAACCGUGUGCCUACAACAAGUUCGAGCCCGUUAAUGGGUGAGAGCGUGCCUUUUGUAGAAUGAACCGGCGAGUUACGUUAUGAUGCGAGGUUAAGUUGAAGAGACGGAGCCGUAGGGAAACCGAGUCUGAAUAGGGCGCCUUAGUAUCAUGACGUAGACCCGAAACCAUGUGACCUACCCAUGAGCAGGUUGAAGGUGCGGUAAGACGCACUGGAGGACCGAACCAGGGCACGUUGAAAAGUGCUUGGAUGACUUGUGGGUAGCGGAGAAAUUCCAAACGAACUUGGAGAUAGCUGGUUCUCUCCGAAAUAGCUUUAGGGCUAGCGUCGACAUUAGAGAUUCUUGGAGGUAGAGCACUGUUUGGGUGAGGGGUCCAUCCCGGAUUACCAAUCUCAGAUAAACUCCGAAUGCCAAUGAAUUAUGGUCGGCAGUCAGACUGCGAGUGCUAAGAUCCGUAGUCGAAAGGGAAACAGCCCAGACCACCAGCUAAGGUCCCAAAAUAAUUGUUAAGUGGAAAAGGAUGUGGGGUUGCACAGACAACUAGGAUGUUAGCUUAGAAGCAGCUAUUCAUUCAAAGAGUGCGUAAUAGCUCACUAGUCGAGUGACCCUGCGCCGAAAAUGUACCGGGGCUAAAACAAUUUACCGAAGCUGUGGAUACCUUUAUAGGUAUGGUAGGAGAGCGUUCUAUGUGUGAUGAAGGUAUACCGUGAGGAGUGCUGGAACGCAUAGAAGUGAGAAUGCCGGUAUGAGUAGCGAAAGACAGGUGAGAAUCCUGUCCACCGUAAGACUAAGGUUUCCAGGGGAAGGCUCGUCCGCCCUGGGUUAGUCGGGACCUAAGGAGAGACCGAAAGGUGUAUCCGAUGGACAACAGGUUGAUAUUCCUGUACUAGAGUAUGUAGUGAUGGAGGGACGCAGUAGGCUAACUAAAGCAGACGAUUGGAAGAGUCUGUCUAAGCAGUGAGGUGUGAAUUGAGUCAAAUGCUUAAUUCUAUAACAUUGAGCUGUGAUGGGGAGCGAAGUUUAGUAGCGAAGUUAGUGACGUCACACUGCCAAGAAAAGCUUCUAGCGUUUAAACAUACUCUACCCGUACCGCAAACCGACACAGGUAGUCGAGGCGAGUAGCCUCAGGUGAGCGAGAGAACUCUCGUUAAGGAACUCGGCAAAAUGACCCCGUAACUUCGGGAGAAGGGGUGCUGACUUAAAGUCAGCCGCAGUGAAUAGGCCCAAGCAACUGUUUAUCAAAAACACAGCUCUCUGCUAAAUCGUAAGAUGAUGUAUAGGGGGUGACGCCUGCCCGGUGCUGGAAGGUUAAGAGGAGUGCUUAGCGUAAGCGAAGGUAUGAAUUGAAGCCCCAGUAAACGGCGGCCGUAACUAUAACGGUCCUAAGGUAGCGAAAUUCCUUGUCGGGUAAGUUCCGACCCGCACGAAAGGCGUAAUGAUUUGGGCACUGUCUCAACGAGAGACUCGGUGAAAUUUUAGUACCUGUGAAGAUGCAGGUUACCCGCGACAGGACGGAAAGACCCCAUGGAGCUUUACUGCAGUUUGAUAUUGAGUGUCUGUACCACAUGUACAGGAUAGGUAGGAGUCUAAGAGAUCGGGACGCCAGUUUCGAAGGAGACGCUGUUGGGAUACUACCCUUGUGUUAUGGCCACUCUAACCCAGAUAGGUGAUCCCUAUCGGAGACAGUGUCUGACGGGCAGUUUGACUGGGGCGGUCGCCUCCUAAAAGG
RNAcentral lists this ribosomal RNA (2271 nucleotides) under Streptococcus pneumoniae. Its description in RNAcentral is "bacterial LSU rRNA". It matches the Rfam family "Bacterial large subunit ribosomal RNA", at positions 3 to 2297 of the family's 2925-position model. The record is from RNAcentral. Lineage: Bacteria; Bacillati; Bacillota; Bacilli; Lactobacillales; Streptococcaceae.